RNAcentral lists this ribosomal RNA (587 nucleotides) under Comamonas sp. A12. Its description in RNAcentral is "bacterial SSU rRNA". The stretch from base 3 to 505 matches the Rfam family "Bacterial small subunit ribosomal RNA", at positions 33 to 541 of the family's 1533-position model. The record is from RNAcentral. Lineage: Bacteria; Pseudomonadati; Pseudomonadota; Betaproteobacteria; Burkholderiales; Comamonadaceae.
UGACGCUGGCGGCAUGCUUUACACAUGCAAGUCCGAACUGGUAACAGCACUUCCGGUGGCUGACGAGUGGCUGAACGGGUGAGUAAUACAUCGGAACGUGCCUAGUAGUGGGGGAUAACUACUCGAAAGAGUAGCUAAUACCGCAUGAGAUCUACGGAUGAAAGCAGGGGACCUUCGGGCCUUGUGCUACUAGAGCGGCUGAUGGCAGAUUAGGUAGUUGGUGGGGUAAAGGCUCACCAAGCCAACGAUCUGUAGCUUGGUCUGAGAGGACGACCAGCCACACUGUAACUGAGACACGGUCCAGACUCCUACGGGAGGCAACAGUGGGGAAUUUUGGACAAUGGGCGCAAGCCUGAUCCACCAAUGCCGCGUGCAGGAUGAAAGGCCUUCGGGUUGUAAACUGCUUUNGUACAGAACAAAAAGUCCUUGGGUUAUACCUGGGACCAUGACGNUCUGUAAAAUAACACCGCUAAUACGUCCACAACCCGGAAACGUUGGUCAGCGUAUUGGAUACUGGCCUAACGGCCCGCCGUUUUAAAAAAGGUAAACCCGCUCCGGACGCUUGGCUUACUUUUGAAGGAGAUCGU